CGCAUUCUGCCAUAUGAUGGCGCCAGAGAACGCGCCUACCGGGAUAGGGAGGGGCAAGGAGGCGAGGAAGGAAAAAAAAGAGACAAGUGAAGAUUGACAUCCAUUAAGGCCAAUGGUAGCUCAAUCUUCUGUUCUCUGACUCCCAAGCUUCCCAUUCUCUUAGGAGGCUGCAUUUGUGGCGCUAAAAAAAGGGAUGGGCGUGGGAGAUUCCAGGACUUGUGCUCGCUGAAGAUACAACUGUUAGUCCAAGGGGUGACCCUGGAGAUCAUUACCAAAAUUUAAAAAUUUCACCACUGGGCACACAUGUUACCCUUCUCGUGAUGGCAUGGCAAAGCUUGAUUUGCAAGAGUUUCUUUUGGAUUGUCCCCAAUGAUUCCCUUUAAAAAUAGGAGCUCCUUCAAGCUCCUGUAUCAGCAGUGCUUGCACCUCAUAGGUGAUGAUCAUGAGGGGGACAAGGAGCCUCUAGACUUAAGAGACAAGUUGCCAGCAUUCUCCAGAUGGAGUGUUUCCCUCCGCAGCACCCCCUGCUGGUCAGUUUGACAAGCAGGUGAACAGAAGUUCUCAAAUACACAAUAGUAGAUUCUAUCAAUCAAGUUUCAUAAAGAGUUCUGAUUCCCAGAGGACUUAUGGAGCAAGGAUGACUGACACAAACACAAAAAUCAUUCUGCCUGUUGAAUGAAUCAUAAAAUACUGUCUUUGAUCCAGGAGGCUUGUGUCAUCUGCCAGCAUUUAUGAAACUGUGCUCCAAGUAGGAUGGGGUCUCUAUCUGGCCAGCGCCAUGUUGCCUGAACACUUGAAGACAAAGAAAAGGGAAGAAGAGGCAGGGCGCCGUAGCUCACGCCUGUAAUCACCGCACUUUCUGAGGGCGAGGAGGGUGGAUCACGAGGUCAGGAGUUCAAGACCAGCUUGGCCAAGAUGGUGAAACCUCGUCUCCACUAAAAAAAAUACAAAAAAAAAAAAAUUUAGCCGGGCCUGUUGGUGGGCUCCUGAAAUCCCAGCCACUCAGGAGGCUGAGGUAGAGAGCUGCUUGAACCCGGGAGGCAGAGGGUGCAGUGAGCCGACAUCGCCCCACUCCACUCCAGCAUGGGCAACAGAGCGAGACUCCGUCAAAAAAAAAAAAAAAAAAAAAAAGAAGAGGACACCUCCAUGUUGAACAUGCGAGUAUGCCUGGCUUCCAAGUAUCCCUUUUCUAUUGGCAUAGGUGCCGGCAUUCCCCUUUGCAAGUUUUAGCUUGCUUAUCUAUGCUUGCAGCUGAUUUUUCAGGCUGAUUGUUGUUAGAAAACAAAAUUAGAUGGGGGCUGCUUUUUUAUUAAAAGGAAAACCUUACCAACGACUCCCUUACCCACACUAACUGCCUAAAUAAUUGAUUUUUUUAGCUCCUGUAUCAGCAGUGCUUGCCCCUGAUAGAUGAUGAUCAUGGGGGGACCAGGAGCCUCUAGACUUAGAGAACUUUCCCCACCCUCCCUGUGGAGUGUUUCCCUCCCCAGCACCCCCUGCUGGUCAGUUUGACAAACAGAUGAACAGAAGUUCUCAAAUACACAGUAAGCAGAUAACCCCAACAUCACCAGAAAUAUCAACUUGUGAUGGCAUUUUGUCAAGUUGUCUUUGUUAUCGGCAUCAUCUGUUGCUUUCUGAGGGAAGUAUUUUGAGUUCUCCUACUGAGACUGUGGAUUUGCCUAUUUCUUUUUGUAUGUCAGCUUUUGCCAUAUGUAUUUUGUAGUUGUGUUGUGAGGAAGAUUCAUGACUUAUCUUGUGGGAGAAUUCUGUAUUUAGCAGAUUUUCGUCUUAAGUUCUGUUUUGCUUAGUAUUGAUGUUAUUACUUUGCUUUUUCAGUUUCAAAAUCAUUUAGUAUAUCUUUUUCCUUUCUUUUAGCCUUUGUGUUUUUAUUUCAGAUGUGCUUUCUUAUGUACUGACUGUGAUCCCCAAAUUCAUAUGUUGAAGUCCCAACUCCAAAUGUAUUUGGAGGUGGGCCUUUCAGACGUAAUUGAGUUUAGAUGACGUCAUGAGGGUGGAGCCCCCAUGAUGACACUAAGUCCUUCUAAGAAAAGGAAGAGAGUCUGAGCCCUCCUCUACACCAUGUGAGGGCACAGAGAGAGAGCAGCCAUCAACAAGCUGAGAGAGGAGGACUGAGAAUGAAACCUACCUCGCCAGAACCUUGUCAUAUCCCUUCCCGGUUUCCAAACGAGUGAGAAAUCAAUUUCUGUUGUGUAAGCUACUCAGUGUAUGAAACUUUGUUAUGGCAGCCAGAGCAGAUUAAUGCAUGCUUCUUGGACUUUGUUUUUAACUCAAUAUGAAAAACAUAUGUUUUAAUAAAAAAAUUACCCCAUUCAUCUGUAUUGUGUUUACUGAUAAUUUUGGACUUAUUUUUGCCAUAUUUAAGA
RNAcentral lists this long non-coding RNA (2381 nucleotides) under Homo sapiens (human). RNAcentral's name for it is "HSALNT0362833". Lineage: Eukaryota; Metazoa; Chordata; Mammalia; Primates; Hominidae. The record is from RNAcentral.